This 386-nucleotide ribosomal RNA is filed under the name uncultured bacterium. RNAcentral describes it as "bacterial SSU rRNA". It matches the Rfam family "Bacterial small subunit ribosomal RNA", at positions 29 to 416 of the family's 1533-position model. The record is from RNAcentral.
AUUGAACGCUGGCGGAAUGCUUUACACAUGCAAGUCGAGCGGCAGCGCGGGGGCAACCCUGGCGGCGAGCGGCGAACGGGUGAGUAACACAUCGGAACGUACCCAGUGGUGGGGGAUAGCCCGGCGAAAGCCGGAUUAAUACCGCAUACGACCUGAGGGGGAAAGUGGGGGACCGCAAGGCCUCACGCCGCUGGAGCGGCCGAUGUUCGAUUAGCUAGUUGGUGGGGUAAAGGCCUACCAAGGCGACGAUCGAUAGCUGGUCUGAGAGGACGACCAGCCACACUGGAACUGAGACACGGUCCAGACUCCUACGGGAGGCAGCAGUGGGGAAUUUUGGACAAUGGGGGCAACCCUGAUCCAGCCAUUCCGCGUGAGUGAAGAAGGCC